CACACUGCAAUCUGUUGGGAGCACGGACAGCCACAGCGCUGGUAGGAAGGAGCUUGCAUGGCUCGGAGAAGACCUUGGAAAUGCUGCUGGCGUCAUACACCUGCUGUUGUUUUCCUUCCAGUUUUUCUAGCUACUAUGAGAUCCUGAGUCAACAGAAUUCUCAAUUCCCGAGAGACGUGGUAGCAGAGGCCAAGGAUGGAGAUUGGGAUUGUCUAGGUCUCUGCGGUCCUCGGUCCCAUUCCACAUAUGUAAUCCUCACUGUGUCAGUCGAAUUUCUGAGUUUGGUUACGUUUCUGUCUUUGACAGUUACUCAAAGUUGCUGACUCAGCAGAAUUCCCAACUCAACUCUCAUUCAUCACCACAUUGAAGUUGACUGGUCAGCUCGAGAGACAACAGACAGGGAGACCUGGAGCAUUCGUUCGAUCCUGCAGUCAGCUGUUUUGUGACCAUGUUAGGUGGUAUUAUCAGUGGUGCUUCCGAUGAAACGAUGUUCUUCUAAACUGCUUGGAAUUUACACUGUCCGGUUGUUACGGAACUGGGAGAGAAUCCUUCAGGACGGCAAUGUCUUCACCCUUUAUAUCAGGAACUGUAAAGAGGUGACAUGAGCCUGCUCUCGAGCGAUUGAGUCUGUGGGAAUGUUCUAGAAACCAUCUGUUCUUAUGGAUGUGCGUUUGUGCCAUUCGGAGGGGAGAGUUUCUUGUGCUUUACAUUACAUUUUUCUUAAUAAAUGAGACAUAGUAUUUGUCAUUUCAGCUUCAUUUGUUUUUUCAUUAAAUCAGUGACACAUUUGAAAAUGUCACUGGGUCCUCAAUCAAACUGGUAACUUUGCCUCCAGGCUGAUGUAUAAUUUAUUUGUUUUC
Molecule: long non-coding RNA, 860 nt
Organism: Stegostoma tigrinum
Lineage: Eukaryota; Metazoa; Chordata; Chondrichthyes; Orectolobiformes; Stegostomatidae
Exons: 4
Source: RefSeq, a predicted model, not a curated record